This 336-nucleotide long non-coding RNA is filed under the name Cyanistes caeruleus (blue tit). RNAcentral describes it as "lncRNA (ENSCCEG00000013181.1)". The record is from RNAcentral. Lineage: Eukaryota; Metazoa; Chordata; Aves; Passeriformes; Paridae.
GGUCAUAUCACUAGCACAGUAUACACAGAGAUAAUGUAACCCUUCUUCUUCUACCAUGGCCUACAUGAUAAUAAAGAAUGUGUUAGUGGACAUGGAGAUAUUCCCUGCCUCUGAGACACUUGGAUGAAACCUUCAAAAUCUCCUGAACCCUCCUCAAGCUCCCAGCAAAUGGAAAUAUGAGUAUUUGUGAGCAGGCUGCAGUGCUGUCCUUCAUCAUUUUUCAAAAUACAUUUUCAUUUCACAUGUUACCUCCAUCCUGUGUGGUCUUCAUGUUCUGUAAGACAACUUGAAAUGCUGAAAAAGGAGUGAUCUUGUUUCAACUAAGGUAGAGUUAAU